RNAcentral lists this ribosomal RNA (497 nucleotides) under uncultured bacterium. RNAcentral describes it as "partial 16S ribosomal RNA". It matches the Rfam family "Bacterial small subunit ribosomal RNA", at positions 28 to 507 of the family's 1533-position model. The record is from RNAcentral.
GAUGAACGCUGGCGGCGUGCCUAAUACAUGCAAGUCGAGCGGACGGACGAGAAGCUUGCUUUUCUGAUGUUAGCGGCGGACGGGUGAGUAACACGUGGAUAACCUACCUAUAAGACUGGGAUAACUUCGGGAAACCGGAGCUAAUACCGGAUAAUAUUUUGAACCGCAUGGUGCAAAAGUGAAAGACGGUCUUGCUGUCACUUAUAGAUGGAUCCGCGCUGCAUUAGCUAGUUGGUAAGGUAACGGCUUACCAAGGCAACGAUGCAUAGCCGACCUGAGAGGGUGAUCGGCCACACUGGAACUGAGACACGGUCCAGACUCCUACGGGAGGCAGCAGUAGGGAAUCUUCCGCAAUGGGCGAAAGCCUGACGGAGCAACGCCGCGUGAGUGAUGAAGGUCUUCGGAUCGUAAAACUCUGUUAUUAGGGAAGAACAUAUGUGUAAGUAACUGUGCACAUCUUGACGGUACCUAAUCAGAAAGCCACGGCUAACUACGUG